GCCGCGCUCACUUAUUAUUCCCACACUCACCCGACGUUUCCUCUCCCCCUGCGGGUGAGGAGCCCCCGGGAAGCCCCUUGCCAGCUCAGCCCACGCUUAUUUGUCAACGAAGUGACAUGGCUUCUCUGUGGACAACCUGCUUUUCAGUUAUUUUGAGUGGCUCUUUAAGCCCAUAUGUACUUGCUUAAGCCAUUUUCAAUCAUCCAAAGAGACCAUCGGGUGACUUAGCAGAGAAGGCCUCGUCCUGACCAGGAAAUCCCUGGUUUCCAGUGCUGUCUGUCACAGAGUGGUGAGUUGAAUUCAGAGAAGAACCUCUUCGCUACCAGACCUAAGGCAACCUUCUCCCACCCAACCUGAAUAAAGGUUCAAACACAUGAUCUAGAAGUUGAGAAGUUUCCAGAGAGUCAGAUAUCCUGCCUAAGAUCUUUUCACUUCUUCUUACCACGUAUAAAUAAAAGACGACAUUUUUGAGGCAUGAAACACCGAGUCUCACACUCAUUUGUCCUCUUAUCAUCUCCCUGUCUCUUCUGGCUCAAGAAUCCAAAAGCCAGUAUUCCAUUCCUAGCUUUGGCAGAAGAUGAGAAGCAGAGAAAAAUGAAAUGGAAAUAUCAGUCAGAGAAUACUUGCCUUUAUUGUAUUUUCUUUCCUAAAACUAAUUAUUCUGGCUUGAGAAGGAGAAGAAUAAUAAAACGCUGU
This 696-nucleotide long non-coding RNA is filed under the name Homo sapiens (human). RNAcentral's name for it is "HSALNT0225244". Lineage: Eukaryota; Metazoa; Chordata; Mammalia; Primates; Hominidae. The record is from RNAcentral.